Hippocampus comes (tiger tail seahorse) is the source of this 988-nucleotide long non-coding RNA. RefSeq lists it as uncharacterized. The record is from RefSeq and is a predicted model, not a curated record. The transcript is spliced from 2 exons. NCBI's taxonomy places the organism in Eukaryota, Metazoa, Chordata, Actinopteri, Syngnathiformes, Syngnathidae.
UUGUGUGUGUUGGACCCAAUUUUCACAAAUCAUAAAGUGAAGAUGACACAAUUGAGACUUGAUAACAACAUUCUAAUCAGUCCCUCUAUAUUUUUGAUCAUCUCUCACAUUUGCUUUCUUGUAACGGUCAUAUUACAAGCUCCUCUAAACAGGAGGGUGUGCCUGCUUCCGGUAGAUAGUGACUGGCGAAUUAUUAACCGGCUCUGACUUGACCACUGCGGGCGGCUGUCCGUCAAGUCCAGUCGAGCGCUUCCGCCAAGUCCACUCGGAACGGGAGAGGAAGGCAAUUUAUGUCCGUCAAAGAACUGGCCUCCACCUCAGGGACAAGGAUGCAGCGGGAAGCGAAAUGCACGGGUUGCAUGCUGAGCACCUCGCUGAGCUGCCGGGGACAGGCGCUCAAGGGUCCCCGUGGCGUCUGUAUGAAUCUUCAUGCUGCUGACUGGGCCGCAGCUUUAUCGACUUUCUUUAAAAUAUGAAGAAGCUUUGCUGGAAGCGCCUGAGGUCAUUAGCUGAAGAGUCGGCACAAAUCCUUCACCGAGCCUGCUCCGGCUUCGCCAUGUUAAAUGUGCUCUUAAAAUAUUCAUAAUCAUACUCUUGCCUGCACGCACGCACACUUGCACUCACACAUUUUGCAGACAAUGCUCCGGGGAUAGAAGGAGAUCAAUAUUAAAAUAUAUUCCUGUACUGGUGUGCUGUUAAUUAGCUGCGGUUCUUUUCAACCAUGAAGUUUGCGGGCAGAUUAACAGAUUUUUUUUUUCUUCUUUGCAACACCACAAUAUUUACUCCCGCUUCAUCCCUGUCAACAUCGAUGAAUCAUAUGUGAAUGGGUGUUGACUACGGCAAAUGUUUUUUUUUUGUCUCCCCUUUACUGUUGUAAUUUAUUCGGAGGAUUAACUAUUGAUGUAAAAUAGGCAAUUGUCUAUUAUUUGUACAAAAACAUGUACUUGUUCAAUUCACUGUCAAUCAGCAUUAAAUUCCUCAUUAAUGA